RNAcentral lists this ribosomal RNA (712 nucleotides) under uncultured Chloroflexota bacterium. Its description in RNAcentral is "bacterial SSU rRNA". It matches the Rfam family "Bacterial small subunit ribosomal RNA", at positions 583 to 1308 of the family's 1533-position model. The record is from RNAcentral. Lineage: Bacteria; Bacillati; Chloroflexota.
GUCAGUCAGGGGUGAAAGCCCGGGGCUUAACCUCGGAACUGCCUUUGAUACUGCUAAUCUAGAGUCCGGCAGAGGUGAGUGGAAUUCCUAGUGUAGAGGUGAAAUUCGUAGAUAUUAGGAAGAACACCAGUGGCGAAGGCGGCCUCCUGGGCUGCUCCUGACGCUGAAGGCGAAAGCUAGGGGAGCGAACGGGAUUAGAAACCCCGGUAGUCCUAGCUGUAAACGAUGGAUGCUAGAUGUAAGGGGUAUAGAUUCCCUCUGUGUCGGAGCUAACGCGUUAAGCAUCCCGCCUGGGGAGUACGGCCGCAAGGCUAAAACUCAAACGAAUUGACGGGGGCCCGCACAAGCAGCGGAGCGUGUGGUUUAAUUCGAUGCUACACGAAGAACCUUACCUAGGCUUGACAUGUAGGUAGUAGUGAAGUGAAAGCGGAUCGACCCUUCGGGGAGCCUACACAGGUGCUGCAUGGCUGUCGUCAGCUCGUGCCGUGAGGUGUCGGGUUAAGUCCCGUAACGAGCGCAACCCUUGCCCUUAGUUAUACGUGUCUAAGGGGACUGCCGGCGGUAAGCCGGAGGAAGGUGAGGAUGACGUCAAGUCAGCAUGGCCUUUAUGUCUAGGGCUACACACACGCUACAAUGGUCGGUACAAUGGGUUGCCAAGCCGCGAGGUGGAGCCAAUCCCCUAAAGCCGAUCUCAGUUCGGAUUGCAGACUGC